Oreochromis aureus is the source of this 329-nucleotide long non-coding RNA. RefSeq lists it as uncharacterized. The transcript has 3 exons. NCBI's taxonomy places the organism in Eukaryota, Metazoa, Chordata, Actinopteri, Cichliformes, Cichlidae. The record is from RefSeq and is a predicted model, not a curated record.
GGAAAAGACACAACGGAAAUGUUCCUGGGGAGACAAUAACCCGACGGACCAGUUGCACGAACCAAAACAUGCUAACCAGUGCGACUGGGAGACACUUCAAAGAAGUGGAGGAGAGGUUAAGAUGUAUUGUCCAUUCUGUGGAUUCCAGUUUGAGAACUUGACAAAAUUUUGCUGUUCCUGUGGAAAAGACAUAAGUUUUGUACCAGCUAAAGAUGCUUCCACAGAACAAGAACACUCAAGAGCCAAGACAGUUGUUCAGCAGUUCUUCAAGUACCGUGAAGGUAAAGAGGCAGAAAGGAGGAUGUUCUCAAAAUCCAAAAAGAAAUCAA